CCUACGGGAGGCAGCAGUAGGGAAUCUUCCACAAUGGGCGAAAGCCUGAUGGAGCAACGCCGCGUGGGUGAAGAAGGUCUUCGGAUCGUAAAACCCUGUUGUUAGAGAAGAAAGUGCGUGAGAGUAACUGUUCACGUGUCGACGGUAUCUAACCAGAAAGUCACGGCUAACUACGUGCCAGCAGCCGCGGUAAUACGUAGGUGGCAAGCGUUAUCCGGAUUUAUUGGGCGUAAAGGGAACGCAGGCGGUCUUUUAAGUCUGAUGUGAAAGCCUUCGGCUUAACCGGAGUAGUGCAUUGGAAACUGGGAGACUUGAGUGCAGAAGAGGAGAGUGGAACUCCAUGUGUAGCGGUGAAAUGCGUAGAUAUAUGGAGGAACACCAGUGGCGAAAGCGGCUCUCUGGUCUGUAACUGACGCUGAGGUUCGAAAGCGUGGGUAGCAAACAGGAUUAGAUACCCUGGUAGUC
This 465-nucleotide ribosomal RNA is filed under the name uncultured bacterium. RNAcentral describes it as "partial 16S ribosomal RNA". It matches the Rfam family "Bacterial small subunit ribosomal RNA", at positions 338 to 795 of the family's 1533-position model. The record is from RNAcentral.